Molecule: ribosomal RNA, 510 nt
Filed under: uncultured bacterium
Lineage: Bacteria
Description: partial 16S ribosomal RNA
Rfam family: Bacterial small subunit ribosomal RNA
Source: RNAcentral
GACGAACGCUGGCGGCGUGCUUAACACAUGCAAGUCGAACGAAGAGCGAUGGAAGCUUGCUUCUAUCACUCUUAGUGGCGAACGGGUGAGUAACGCGUAAUCAACCUGCCCUUCAGAGGGGGACAACAGUUGGAAACGACUGCUAAUACCGCAUACGAUCUAAUCUCGGCAUCGGGGAUAGAUGAAAGGUGGCCUCUACAUGUAAGCUAUCACUGAAGGAGGGGAUUGCGUCUGAUUAGCUAGUUGGAGGGGUAACGGCCCACCAAGGCGAUGAUCAGUAGCCGGUCUGAGAGGAUGAACGGCCACAUUGGGACUGAGACACGGCCCAGACUCCUACGGGAGGCAGCAGUGGGGAAUCUUCCGCAAUGGACGAAAGUCUGACGGAGCAACGCCGCGUGAGUGAUGACGGCCUUCGGGUUGUAAAGCUCUGUUAAUCGGGACGAAAGGCCUUCUUGCGAAUAGUGAGAAGGAUUGACGGUACCGGAAGAGAAAGCCACGGCUAACUACGUG